CCCGAGGGAUGGGUGCUCCGUCACCUUCCGCCGAACGACUCCUGGGUCCGCUCGCGAGCUGCGGGGACGGCGUUGGGGGGCCGCCGCCGCAGGCCCGGCCUGGGAGUCGGGCUGCUCGGACCGGCCCCACGCGCGCUCGGCCCCCGAAGCGCAGGGCGGUGCCAGAAUGUUCCCGUUUCGUGGGAAUUGAGUAACGCGAAGCCCCUGACUUAGACACACGGACCUUCACCUCCCCGCGGGCCCUGCCUGUCGCAGGGUGCCAUCCCCUGGGAGAGCCCGCCCUGCUCGGAGGCAGGCCUCUGCGGACGGAGCGCCCGCGUCCACCCAGAGGUGCUCCUCCCUCCCGUGGUUCCGGGAGUGAAGACCGGGGCCGAGCGAGCCCUCGCGUGACCGCCUCGCCCCGUGUCCCCGCGUCUGGUUUCUGUUGGGAGCGCUCGGGCCACCUUGGAAACGCGGCGCUGCCGAGCCGCCAGUUGCAGGUUUCAAGAGGGCAUUGACAUGUAGGAUGCCCCGAGAGCUGCUCACCUGUCCUUUCCUGAGGGCAGGCGAAGAAAACCGAGGUUUCUGUCGUUUUAAAACUUUGCGUCUUGCCCGGAAAAAUGCGAGAACUGGAGAAAAUAACUUAAAGGAGAAUGGCGCUCCCUUCUUGCCAGAGGAAGACUCGCAACCCAGCAGAAGCCAGAGGUUCCUCAGUUUACCCUCCUUAGCGUGCCCGCUAGUCUUUUAUGCAGAAGGACUUACAGCAGUGGGAUCCAGAUAUUGUUGAUGUUUUACUUUUCGAAAGAGCUUGAUUUCAGACGUGAUCCACUUACGUUGCAUAUUUAGGUUUAAAAAGCACCGAGCUGAUUGGCCUGCAGCACAGUCCCCUUACCACGUAACUUAUGCCUUACUUCACCGCUGGAAUCAUGUUUUCCACUUCGGCAUUUUUAGCUUACAUGCCUGUCUUAGAUGUCAAGCUGAAAACAAACAAGAGGAUUGUGUUGUCUUGGGCUACAAAAGUUAUCUUGGCUAAAUGUUUUAAGCAGUUCAAAGGAAGACAGCAUAUGGAGCUGUAUAGGAACCAGGGCCACCACAUCAUUCACGGAUUCUAGAGCUGUGGUGGGACGUCCCCUAAGCACAAACCUUACACAUUGGUCUGGGGAGAAUGUAAUCAUUCCUUCCACAACUGCUGCAUGUCCCUGUGGGUGAAACAGAACAAUCGCUGCCCUCUCUGCCAGCAAGACUGGGUGGUCCAAAGAAUCGGCAAAUGAGAGUGGUGAAAGGGCUUCUUAGUGCAUUUGUCCAGAGCCCUGGUGGAUCGCCUUACCAAGUGCCCUACAACGACCAGGACACUCCGGAGGACUAAGUCUUCCAAUAGGAGGAGAUGGAUCUUUGGUCCUUGAGGACUCAUCCAAGGCAUUGGGUUAGCGUUUUGUCAGUUUCAUUUUCAGAAAUUCUCUACAAUUAAGAAGAUAAUUUAUUAAAGAUGGUCUUUCCUAUCUCUGUGGUAUGUGUCACACUGCUUAGAAGUGCUAUAAAGGAGGAGAGAACUACAAAUUGAAUGACCUUUAUAAUUUACUUAUUGAUAUGUAAGGGGCUGUGGAAGCAGUUCCGUUGGAAGAGAACUUUUGCAUGCUUUAACGUUGAUCAGUUAAAAAAAAAAGACAAUGUUAUAAUAACAAAUAAAAUGCAGUUUAAAACCCAACUCUUAUCCUUAAUUUGUUCUUGAUACUUAUUUUAGACAGGAAAGGGGAUGAUUCAUUAAAUAUUUAUUUGAUAGGACAAUUUUAAGUUUGGGCCAGAGAGCAGGGUAAAUAAGAUUUCAUCUUUGGGCAUAUAGGAUUUCGCUUGUCUUUUAGGUUAUCGUUCUCUAUCAUUGACUCAUCAAAAAACCCUAGAUCUGCACACCUCACUGUUCAGUCAUUCAGUGGGAAAGAACAGGGGUAUUUUCAAGUUUUAACCAGAUUAUGGUAUAAUUUAACUGUGUUUCAGGUGUACUGUUAAUAAGGGGGAAAUGUUUACCACUAUAGCAUCGGAUCAAAAAAAGUUUAUUUUAUUACACAGUGUUUUAAUAAACAGUUUAUUCUGUU
This is an RNA transcript of Myotis myotis, 2069 nucleotides long. It is a transcript of the gene named ring finger protein 7, with no coding region annotated. The transcript has 5 exons. The record is from RefSeq and is a predicted model, not a curated record. NCBI's taxonomy places the organism in Eukaryota, Metazoa, Chordata, Mammalia, Chiroptera, Vespertilionidae.